CCCUGUAUUCAGGUGCAGUUAUGGGUUGCCUGUGCCCUGGCCAUAGUUACUGCAGGGAGGAAAUGCUGAAAGUCUUACCCUGUAUUAGGAAGGUCCGUUCCUGUCCAUGUCAAACCUCGGUGCUGUGGAACA
This is a small nucleolar RNA of Myodes glareolus (Bank vole), 132 nucleotides long. RefSeq annotates it as small nucleolar RNA SNORA71. NCBI's taxonomy places the organism in Eukaryota, Metazoa, Chordata, Mammalia, Rodentia, Cricetidae. The record is from RefSeq and is a predicted model, not a curated record.